GAUGAACGCUGGCGGCGUGCCUAAUACAUGCAAGUCGAGCGAACAGAUAAGGAGCUUGCUCCUUUGACGUUAGCGGCGGACGGGUGAGUAACACGUGGGUAACCUACCUAUAAGACUGGGAUAACUUCGGGAAACCGGAGCUAAUACCGGAUAAUAUUUCGAACCGCAUGGUUCGAUAGUGAAAGAUGGUUUUGCUAUCACUUAUAGAUGGACCCGCGCCGUAUUAGCUAGUUGGUAAGGUAACGGCUUACCAAGGCGACGAUCCGUAGCCGACCUGAGAGGGUGAUCGGCCACACUGGAACUGAGACACGGUCCAGACUCCUACGGGAGGCAGCAGUAGGGAAUCUUCCGCAAUGGGCGAAAGCCUGACGGAGCAACGCCGCGUGAGUGAUGAAGGUCUUCGGAUCGUAAAACUCUGUUAUUAGGGAAGAACAUACGUGUAAGUAACUGUGCACAUCUUGACGGUACCUAAUCAGAAAGCCACGGCUAACUACGUGCCAGCAGCCGCGGUAAUACGUAGGUGGCAAGCGUUAUCCGGAAUUAUUGGGCGUAAAGCGCGCGUAGGCGGUUUUUUAAGUCUGAUGUGAAAGCCCACGGCUCAACCGUGGAGGGUCAUUGGAAACUGGAAAACUUGAGUGCAGAAGAGGAAAGCGGAAUUCCAUGUGUAGCGGUGAAAUGCGCAGAGAUAUGGAGGAACACCAGUGGCGAAGGCGACUUUCUGGUCUGUAACUGACGCUGAUGUGCGAAAGCGUGGGGAUCAAACAGGAUUAGAUACCCUGGUAGUCCACGCCGUAAACGAUGAGUGCUAAGUGUUAGGGGGUUUCCGCCCCUUAGUGCUGCAGCUAACGCAUUAAGCACUCCGCCUGGGGAGUACGACCGCAAGGUUGAAACUCAAAGGAAUUGACGGGGACCCGCACAAGCGGUGGAGCAUGUGGUUUAAUUCGAAGCAACGCGAAGAACCUUACCAAAUCUUGACAUCCUUUGACAACUCUAGAGAUAGAGCUUUCCCCUUCGGGGGACAAAGUGACAGGUGGUGCAUGGUUGUCGUCAGCUCGUGUCGUGAGAUGUUGGGUUAAGUCCCGCAACGAGCGCAACCCUUAAGCUUAGUUGCCAUCAUUAAGUUGGGCACUCUAAGUUGACUGCCGGUGACAAACCGGAGGAAGGUGGGGAUGACGUCAAAUCAUCAUGCCCCUUAUGAUUUGGGCUACACACGUGCUACAAUGGACAAUACAAAGGGCAGCGAAACCGCGAGGUCAAGCAAAUCCCAUAAAGUUGUUCUCAGUUCGGAUUGUAGUCUGCAACUCGACUACAUGAAGCUGGAAUCGCUAGUAAUCGUAGAUCAGCAUGCUACGGUGAAUACGUUCCCGGGUCU
RNAcentral lists this ribosomal RNA (1372 nucleotides) under uncultured bacterium. RNAcentral's name for it is "bacterial SSU rRNA". It matches the Rfam family "Bacterial small subunit ribosomal RNA", at positions 28 to 1381 of the family's 1533-position model. The record is from RNAcentral.